GAAACAGAAGUGUUUUCCUUCCUUUCUGUUCCAUACUUACUGCUGUUUACAGGAGGGCAUGUCUCACAGGGGUUUCCCCAGGCCUUCCCCAGGGAGCAGCAGCAGGAGGAGCGACUGACACCUACGCCGACCUCUGUGUUGCAGGACAGACUCCCGUCUCCUCGAGGACCAAACUUCAGGUAACAGUUGCCCACGCGGUUGUCUGCAGAGCAACAGAAGAGCUUAAAGUGGUCCCCACUGUGGGGAGAAAUUCUCAGGAAGGCAUUUAAAGGACCAAGUUCAAGAUUUUGUACGUUGACAGGGAAGGUACAUCCUAAUUCUUAGCACAAUACAAUCUUUUGCUAUAAACUUCGGCUUUUAAACAUCACAAGAUCAAGUCAACUGUAAAAGAUGGUGAGCAGCAGUCACUAGAAACCACAGAAUGAUUUCUGUCUAUUUGUGGUAUAAGCAAGAAAGUGAGGCAGUUCUUAUUUGGGGGCCCUCUGGACAUUUCAAGUAGUGUGAACAGAAGAGAAACUGGGGUGUUACUAAUCUGCCUCAUGAGUUUGUGAAGAAGUGGUGGCACACCUCGGAGACAUACAAAUGUAACUAAGUCCGUAACAUGUUAACAAUCUCAGUCUACCUUUCACCCACCCCUCCCGAUGGUUUUAUUUUAAUCUUCACUGCAACAGUUGCGGAUUGUUCAGUCUGGCAAACUGCAUCUCUCUGAAGACUGCCUGUCUCUAUUUACACUCAUCAUCUUGACCCCUGGCUUUAGAUGGUACUCCUCCCCCAAGUCCCACCCAUGACCUCAAGUUCAAAAUUCUCUCACCUUUCUUCUGAGUUCUAAACCUUUCUGCUUAUUUCUUUACUACUUGUUUCCAAGUCAACAUGCCCAACAACCAACCUGGACACUCCUCUCUCUGUGCUACCUCUCCCCCUGUCUUAGCGGCUUUCAAGCGAUGGAACUUCCCUUAUCUUUUUCAGCUGUCCAGCCUUGCUGCCAUUUCUAACCCUUUACACUCAUUCUCCUUUCACACCAGUAAUAAUAAGGCUUGCUAACUUUAUCUUCAAGAUGCAUCUGACGACUUACGUCACCGCUGCCUUUUCCCCUUAGCCUGAAUUCCCCAUAUCAGCAUUCUUUUUAAACCUAGAUGAUUGCAAUGGUUUCCCAACUCGUAUGUAUCUCAGCUUUCAUCUUUGGCCCAAGUCCAAUCUGUUUUUGUCUUUGUAGCCAAAGUAAUUCUUCAGAAGAACUGUUCUGGGCCAGGCCACGCCCCCUCCCCCCAAAGAGGUCUCAUCCCAACCAGAGUAUUUUGAAAGUUUUUAUGAGUCCACAAAGUACCUUUCACUUCUGGCUGAACACAGCACAGCCAUCUGGCUGCUUCUCGUGGUUAUACUUCAAUUUUUUUCGGUUGCCAAAUCUUGGGUACAGAGACCCAAGUUAACUCAUGGUCCCUCCCCUAUUAGGUUUGAAUUCAUUCGACAUUCCUUCCUUUCUCUUUCCCCCUUUCAAAUCUUCAUUCUCCAUUCCUGAUUUUCUUUUCCUCCUGGACCAUUCCAAUGACCUGAUAAUAGCUUCUGUGUGUGCUCUCAUAAAAACGGUUUUUAAUGCGUCCAUUAAAAAUUUCAGUAAAUUACAUUUUUGUCACGUAUCUGACAUGCUUGCUCUUUGGACAAACUGUGCAUGAAUUCUAUGAUAUCCAAAUGCUUAUAAUUCUCGUUUGUUUUGAGAUGAGGUUAUAUCCUGCAGCAUAGGCGAGACUCUAAUACACAAUCCUCCUGCCUCAGCUUCUUGAUGGCUUGGAUUGCAUUUAAAAACAUCUGCACAGUUGAUUAAAUUGGUUUCUUAAUCUGUAUCACCACAAAUCUUACCCACAUCUGUCAAAGAAUCAGUGUGUUAAUAUCUUCGGCAUAUGAAGCCAGACAAAUUUAUGGUUUGUAGGUUCUUCAGAAGUUAAGGCCAUUGUUCUUUAUUAUCUGCAUUCAGCAGAUCCUUUUUAAUGUUUUAAAAUAAUUUUAAAAAUAGAGUUUAUAGAAGAGCAAAUCUAUACUGAAAAAAACUCAUUAUUUUAGUAAGGACUUAGUCACUACUCAUGUAAAUAUUUAUUACCUCCUUUCUUGGUUUUGUACUCAAAAUUGUCCUAUUAUAGUUCAUUGUCGAGAGUUGAAAUAUUCAACUUUACGUGAUUCUAUUUAUUUCACUUAGCUUUCACUUACCAACGCAACCCACGCCAGUGGGGUUCAGCUGGAAGUCAGGCGGGCAGUUACACUCAUAGCGACCAGGCGUGUUCACACAUAGGCCAUUGACACAGUUUAUGGGGUCUGCGCACUCAUCAAUAUCUGUGAACAUUCCAGAUGCCCGUGUUAACAUCUUUACUUCCAUAUACAAAGUGCUGUUCCAAGAAACUGAGUGGACCUCUCUCCCAGGUUACUAAAGGUCACUGUGAAGGACUCAGCUAACUAAAGACUAAGAUUCAUCCUAAACACAAAAUAGGUUCUGCAAUGGUAAGGAUUUAAUGGAUGCUUGGUGCAUCUCUGUCUCUCUGUCUCUGUCUCUCUGUCUCUGUCCCUGUCUCUGUCUCUCUCUCUCUCCCUCUGUGUAUGUGUGUGUGUGUGUGUGUGUGUUUGCAGAAUGUAGGGAGGCAGGAGACAACAGUAUUAUACUAUAUAGUCCUGGCUCACUUGAAAUUCACUAUGUAGAAUGUCCUGGAACUCAUAGAAAAUUAUAAUAUUUUCAACAAUGUCAUUUAAUAUCCUAACAUAUAACCAAUAACUAAAAGUUGCAAUUCUGAGGAAGAAAUUUAAGUGCUCCACAGGUUCAGAAUCACUAUUCAGCCCAUAUAGAAGUUCACUGAGAGGCACAGACCAUGGUCCUAGUUAAUUUUAGUAUGUGAUGGCUUUUAACUACAGGUUGUUUAUAGUAAAUUUUAUUUAAAAAAAUAAGAAAUGUGAUAUAUACGUAAAAAUUCACAUACACACAUAUGUAAUUACUGUUUUUGUUUUAAAUAAUGAAGCUGCUUAUCUAAACACAAAUGCGUUUCAUUGUAGAAGGUGAAUAUACCAGAGUAUACUUUUCUAUUUUGGAAACAUGCACAGCCUAAUGUACAGAUAUUUCCGGAAAACUCUGAGGAGUUUAUAUGUUUAGCAUGGAGUACUGGUGCCAAGCAAUGAAACACAGUUGAUCCUGGCUGUCCUCACCUGUACAGUUUCCUCCUGUCCUGUCCAGUUCAUAACCAUCAUCACAGAUACAGUGAAACAUCCCGGGCAAGUUGUUACAGGUUCCAAAGACACAGAUAUUUUGGAAGGAGCAUUCAUCAAUAUCUGAAG
Molecule: long non-coding RNA, 3309 nt
Filed under: Mus musculus (house mouse)
Lineage: Eukaryota; Metazoa; Chordata; Mammalia; Rodentia; Muridae
Description: long non-coding RNA chr18:58056154-58059463
Source: RNAcentral